GAUGAACGCUGGCGGCGUGCCUAAUACAUGCAAGUCGAGCGAACAGACGAGGAGCUUGCUCCUCUGACGUUAGCGGCGGACAGGUGAGUAACACGUGGAUAACCUACCUAUAAGACUGGGAUAACUUCGGGAAACCGGGGCUAAUACCGGAUAAUAUAUUGAACCGCAUGGUUCAAUAGUGAAAGACGGUUUUGCUGUCACUUAUAGAUGGAUCCGCGCCGCAUUAGCUAGUUGGUAAGGUAACGGCUUACCAAGGCAACGAUGCGUAGCCGACCUGAGAGGGUGAUCGGCCACACUGGAACUGAGACACGGUCCAGACUCCUACGGGAGGCAGCAGUAGGGAAUCUUCCGCAAUGGGCGAAAGCCUGACGGAGCAACGCCGCGUGAGUGAUGAAGGUCUUCGGAUCGUAAAACUCUGUUAUUAGGGAAGAACAAAUGUGUAAGUAACUAUGCACGUCUUGACGGUACCUAAUCAGAAAGCCACGGCUAACUACGUG
RNAcentral lists this ribosomal RNA (497 nucleotides) under uncultured bacterium. Its description in RNAcentral is "partial 16S ribosomal RNA". It matches the Rfam family "Bacterial small subunit ribosomal RNA", at positions 28 to 507 of the family's 1533-position model. The record is from RNAcentral.